RNAcentral lists this ribosomal RNA (147 nucleotides) under uncultured bacterium. Its description in RNAcentral is "partial 16S ribosomal RNA". It matches the Rfam family "Bacterial small subunit ribosomal RNA", at positions 353 to 526 of the family's 1533-position model. The record is from RNAcentral.
CGCGUGGUUGCGAUGGGGGACCCUGACGCAGCACGCCGCGUGGGGGAUGAAGGCUCUUGGGACGUAACUCCUUUCGAUCGGAACGAUUAUGACGGUACCGGAAGAAGAAGCCCCGGCUAACUUCGUGCCAGCAGCCGCGGUAAUAAU